AAGUCGUAACAAGGUCUCCGUAGGUGAACCUGCGGAGGGAUCAUUCACAUGAUUACUUUAUUAAACAAACCGUGAACUUUAUAUACUAUUCGUGUUUUUUGUGUUGGUUUUAUUACUUUCACAUUAAACAUUGUCAUUCGUUGAACAUAAGAUAGUUGGCUUGAAUUUUAUUAUUCUUUCUCAGCUUUGAUUUGACUGAAAAUUAAACACUUUCUCUCAAUCAACCAUAAACAUAGAAACAACUCUAUGCCCUGGAUAUCUUGGUUCUC
Molecule: unclassified non-coding RNA, 269 nt
Filed under: fungal sp.
Lineage: Eukaryota; Fungi
Description: partial internal transcribed spacer region
Rfam family: Eukaryotic small subunit ribosomal RNA (bases 1-46)
Source: RNAcentral